AGUGAACGCUGGCGGUAGGCCUAACACAUGUAAGUCGAACGGCAGCACAGGAGAGCUUGCUCUCUGGGUGGCGAGUGGCGGACGGGUGAGGAAUACAUCGGAAUCUACUCUGUCGUGGGGGAUAACGUAGGGAAACUUACGCUAAUACCGCAUACGACCUACGGGUGAAAGCAGGGGACCUUCGGGCCUUGCGCGAUUGAAUGAGCCGAUGUCGGAUUAGCUAGUUGGCGGGGUAAAGGCCCACCAAGGCGACGAUCCGUAGCUGGUCUGAGAGGAUGAUCAGCCACACUGGAACUGAGACACGGUCCAGACUCCUAUGGGAGGCAGCAGUGGGGAAUAUCGGACAAUGGGCGCAAGCCUGAUCCAGCCAUACCGCGUGGGUGAAGAAGGCCUUCGGGUUGUAAAGCCCUUUUGUUGGGAAAGGAAUCCAGCUGGCUAAUACCCGGUUGGGAUGACGGUACCCAAAGAAUAAGCACCGGCUAACUUCGUGCCAGCCGCCGCUGUAA
Molecule: ribosomal RNA, 506 nt
Filed under: uncultured bacterium
Lineage: Bacteria
Description: partial 16S ribosomal RNA
Rfam family: Bacterial small subunit ribosomal RNA
Source: RNAcentral